Molecule: long non-coding RNA, 1181 nt
Organism: Eriocheir sinensis (Chinese mitten crab)
Lineage: Eukaryota; Metazoa; Arthropoda; Malacostraca; Decapoda; Varunidae
Exons: 3
Source: RefSeq, a predicted model, not a curated record
AGGACGCAAGGACUCUUCACUUGUGAGCUAACCAGGAUUUACCAAGGGCGCCCACCAAGUCGCUUCCCACAGCGGGUUGAGAAGCCUCGGUGGUUCAGUCGACCGAGGCGUCGAACGGCGUCAGGCGAACGAGCAGCGGGAGUGUAGCAGGUGGUUCGCUGCGCCUCGGUAAUUGAACGGCUUUGAACGGCAAGAUGCGGGCGGGCGGCAGGAGUGCCCCGGUCGUUCGCCUGCUAAAGGAUGCUGCUGUACGGCAGCAAACCUUUACAACAGAGUUGAAUAUCCUUAGACUCUGGACCCUUGCUGUGAACCUUCAGUAUGACCUUCAGUAUCACCUUGGACUCAGGUGUGUGUGGGUGUAUGGCUGGACCCGCACGUCUUCGACUUCUUCAGGUAUGUAGGUAUACUACCUUUUACCAUUUAUUUGUUCAUUUACACAUUGGAAGUGCUGCCAGGCUUCCUCCAAGCUUAUUUUAAUGAAAUUUUAUCGCGGCUUUCAUUUAUCCGCCCUUGCUCUUCGCCGAUUACUGUACACGUGAUGUCGCUAGCUGCCUCGAAAAGAGAGACUGGGAUGAGGAGUUGCUGUGAAUACGAUGCCUUUUUAUCUGGGUCUGGAUCUGGAUGAUAAUGCGCAGGGCACCUUUUUAGGUGCAUAACACAUAUCCACUGCACUCAGACCCGUAUAUUAAUCGUGGUUCACUAAUGCAGUUUCGUUAUGUUCAAAGGAGAUAAUUCAAGUAAUGACGACAUAUAGCGAGAAGGUAGACGCUGCUGAGGUUGUGUUUAAAGUGACUAGAACGAGAUAACUGUCGAGGCAGCAGAGAAGGGGAAAAGUAAUCGAGGAGCCGGGUGGAGGAUGUCGGUGUACCUGUGCCACCCACUCAUCCUCCACCGUUUGGUGCGUGCUGUUGUUCCGUAUUCACCUGUCUUCUCACAACAACCCAGUUUCAUUUCAAGAAUCACCCCAAAGUGGGUGAUUUUACUUGCUUCAUAAACAAACUGUUACUUUUCCUCAUUUGUAAUUUUGACUAAUUCCCGUAACGCCCAUUCUUUACUAAAACUUGUCCUCUGGUCCCACCCGCUGGUUCAGAACGCUCAAAAAUGUUACUCUGCGAGGAAAAAAAGUUGUUUGCAGGUAAUGGAGGAUUGGAGUUGGAUGUGGUUGAGGGAUUGUGGGUGGA